RNAcentral lists this ribosomal RNA (465 nucleotides) under Vreelandella stevensii. RNAcentral describes it as "partial 16S ribosomal RNA". It matches the Rfam family "Bacterial small subunit ribosomal RNA", at positions 338 to 795 of the family's 1533-position model. Lineage: Bacteria; Pseudomonadati; Pseudomonadota; Gammaproteobacteria; Oceanospirillales; Halomonadaceae. The record is from RNAcentral.
CCUACGGGUGGCAGCAGUGGGGAAUAUUGGACAAUGGGCGAAAGCCUGAUCCAGCCAUGCCGCGUGUGUGAAGAAGGCCUUCGGGUUGUAAAGCACUUUCAGUGGGGAAGAAAGCCUUGGGGCUAAUACCCUCGAGGAAGGACAUCACCCACAGAAGAAGCCCCGGCUAACUCCGUGCCAGCAGCCGCGGUAAUACGGAGGGUGCGAGCGUUAAUCGGAAUUACUGGGCGUAAAGCGCGCGUAGGCGGUCUGAUAAGCCGGUUGUGAAAGCCCCGGGCUCAACCUGGGAACGGCAUCCGGAACUGUCAGGCUAGAGUGCAGGAGAGGAAGGUAGAAUUCCCGGUGUAGCGGUGAAAUGCGUAGAGAUCGGGAGGAAUACCAGUGGCGAAGGCGGCCUUCUGGACUGACACUGACGCUGAGGUGCGAAAGCGUGGGUAGCAAACAGGAUUAGAUACCCGGGUAGUC